AGAGUUUGAUCAUGGCUCAGAACGAACGCUGGCGGCAUGCCUAACACAUGCAAGUCGAACGGAGGCCCGAAGCUUGCUUCGGAUACCUUAGUGGCGAACGGGUGAGUAACACGUGGGAAUCUACCUAAAAAUGGGGAAUAACUGUUGGAAACGACAGCUAAUACCGCAUAAUCCCUUCGGGGCAAAGGCUUCGGCCGUUUUUAGAUGAGCCCGCGCUAGAUUAGGUUGUUGGUGGAGUAAUAGCCCACCAAGCCUGCAAUCUAUAGCUGGUCUGAGAGGAUGAUCAGCCACACUGGGACUGAGACACGGCCCAGACUCCUACGGGAGGCAGCAGUGGGGAAUAUUGGACAAUGGGGGAAACCCUGAUCCAGCAAUGCCGCGUGAGUGAAGAAGGCCCUAGGGUUGUAAAGCUCUUUCAGAAGUGAAGAUGAUGACUGUAACUUCAGAAGAAGAUCCGGCUAACUCCGUGCCAGCAGCCGCGGUAAUUC
RNAcentral lists this ribosomal RNA (488 nucleotides) under uncultured bacterium. Its description in RNAcentral is "bacterial SSU rRNA". It matches the Rfam family "Bacterial small subunit ribosomal RNA", at positions 8 to 526 of the family's 1533-position model. The record is from RNAcentral.